CACUUAUCGAGCUUUUUCACCUUUCCAGUUUGCGUCAAAUGCCGAACGACCGUAGAAUGGUGGACGUUGAGUUCUUCAGCAGCUUCUGGUGUAGUUGUAAGAGGACCAGCUUCCGUGAUUGCUCUCAAUUGGUGGUUGUCAACUUCCGACGACUGGCCGCUACGCUCCUCAUCUUCAAGGCUCUCCUCUCUUUUGCAAAACUUCUUGAACCCCCACUGCACGGUAACCGUGGCCACGUGGACCAAGCCAACGCCGGCUCCUCUCAUCUCCAUUGAGAUCAGCAAGGCAACUCCAGCCUGUACCACCAACAUCCCCAGGCCAGGAGAACAGCCAGUGAAAGCCCAUUUGAAAGACUGCCAUAUUCCUCACCAAUGCAUUUCUCAAGGCCAAGAGACAGGGUCUUGCUCUGUUGCCCAGGCUGGAGUACAGUGGAGUAGCUCACUGCAGCCUCGAACUCCUGGCUUCAAGGGAUCCUACCACCUUUGCCUUCUAAAGUACUGGGAUUACAGCACCAGUCCAGAAAUAGCUCCCCAGCCGCCCUGGCCUCCAGCAUGUUACCAUGGCAACAGAACCACAGUUCUAUAAAUAGAUCAUCAGCACCAAAUCUUGUGAGAGAGACAUCUGGAGUGGAGCCAGCCAAACCCCAGCUCAACAAAUAAAAACAGGCAGCUUAAGAAAUGGGCACACUACCAGUAUCUGAACUUUAACAUGAAGGCAGUUCAACCAGAAACGUGCCGGCCACGGCAGAUGCAGGGCUGUUUGAGCCAUGGGUGAGGGAGGACAUUUUAAAAGUUUUAAGCUGCGUUGUUCUCUUUUUCUCUGAGUUUCCUUAAAACUUUUCAUGAUCUAUACAAAUGGUGCAGUUUUCAGACAAAGUUUCAGGAGUCAUUAAGUGUUGCUUAAAAAAACCCCAAAAACUUCUAAAUGAUUUGAGAGAGAGAACGAAACCCAACAAAAUUCAACAAUCUGGCUAAGCUACUGUUAAUUCACGAAACUGGGACGACUCCCUGCCCCCCCGGCAUUCAAAACUGAGGUGGUUAAACUCUCUUAAUCUUGUACCUGUACUUAACUUCUGACUUGGAUCCAAAAUACAAAAUGCAAACAA
Gorilla gorilla gorilla (western lowland gorilla) is the source of this 1105-nucleotide long non-coding RNA. RefSeq lists it as uncharacterized. The transcript is spliced from 4 exons. The record is from RefSeq and is a predicted model, not a curated record. NCBI's taxonomy places the organism in Eukaryota, Metazoa, Chordata, Mammalia, Primates, Hominidae.